RNAcentral lists this ribosomal RNA (361 nucleotides) under Chanos chanos (milkfish). Its description in RNAcentral is "partial 16S ribosomal RNA". It matches the Rfam family "Bacterial large subunit ribosomal RNA", at positions 599 to 1082 of the family's 2925-position model. The record is from RNAcentral. Lineage: Eukaryota; Metazoa; Chordata; Actinopteri; Gonorynchiformes; Chanidae.
UCGUACCUUUUGCAUCAUGAUCUAGCCAGCAUACCCAAGCAAAGAGAACUGUAGUUUGACUCCCCGAAACUAAGUGAGCUACUCCGAGACAGCCUAAGAACUGGGCCAACCCGUCUCUGUGGCAAAAGAGUGGGAAGAUCUCCGAGUAGAGGUGACAGACCUACCGAACUUAGUGAUAGCUGGUUGCCCGAGAAAUGGAUAGAAGUUCAGCCUUAUCCCCCUCCAGUCACCGAUGUGCCACUACCUACUAGACACCCAAGAGAGACCGAUAAGAGUUAUUCAGAAGGGGUACAGCUCUUCUGAACCAGGACACAACCUUACACAGGAGGUUAAGGACCAUAGUCAACAAGGACAUCCGUUU